RNAcentral lists this ribosomal RNA (582 nucleotides) under uncultured bacterium. Its description in RNAcentral is "partial 16S ribosomal RNA". It matches the Rfam family "Bacterial small subunit ribosomal RNA", at positions 355 to 1375 of the family's 1533-position model. The record is from RNAcentral.
UGGGGAAUUUUGGACAAUGGGCGAAAGCCUGAUCCAGCAAUGCCGCGUGUGUGAAGAAGGCCUUCGGGUUGUAAAGCACUUUUGUCCGGAAAGAAAUCCUUGGCUCUAAUACAGUCGGGGGAUGACGGUACCGGAAGAAUAAGCACCGGCUAACUACGUGCCAGCAGCCGCGGUAAUACGUAGGGUGCAAGCGUUAAUCGGAAUUACUGGGCGUAAAGCGUGCGCAGGCGGUUUGCUAAGACUGAUGUGAAAUCCCCGGGCUCAACCUGGGAACUGCAUUGGUGACUGGCAGGCUAGAGUAUGGCAGAGGGGGGUAGAAUUCCACUGUAGCAGUGAAAUGCGUAGAGAUGUGGAGGAAUACCGAUGGCGAAGGCAGCCCCCUGGGCCAAUACUGACGCUCAUGCACGAAAGCGUGGGGAGCAAACAGGAUUAGAUACCCUGGUAGUCCACGCCCUAAACGAUGUCAACUAGUUGUUGGGGAUUCAUUUCCUUAGUAACGUAGCUAACGCGUGAAGUUGACCGCCUGGGGAGUACGGUCGCAAGAUUAAACUUAAGGAAUUGACGGGGUCAUAGCUGUUUCCU